Molecule: ribosomal RNA, 449 nt
Filed under: uncultured prokaryote
Description: bacterial SSU rRNA
Rfam family: Bacterial small subunit ribosomal RNA
Source: RNAcentral
UGGGGAAUAUUGGACAAUGGGCGCAAGCCUGAUCCAGCCAUGCCGCGUGUGUGAAGAAGGCUCUAGGGUUGUAAAGCACUUUCAGUAGGGAGGAAAAGCUGUUAAUUAAUACUUAACAGCCCUGACGUUACCUACAGAAGAAGCACCGGCAAACUCCGUGCCAGCAGCCGCGGUAAUACGGAGGGUGCGAGCGUUAAUCGGAAUUACUGGGCGUAAAGCGCGCGUAGGCGGUUUGAUAAGCUGGAUGUGAAAGCCCCGGGCUCAACCUGGGAACUGCAUCCAGAACUGUCAGGCUAGAGUAUGGUAGAGGGUAGUGGAAUUUCCUGUGUAGCGGUGAAAUGCGUAGAUAUAGGAAGGAACACCAGUGGCGAAGGCGGCUACCUGGACCAAUACUGACGCUGAGGUGCGAAAGCGUGGGGAGCAAACAGGAUUAGAUACCCCCGUAGUCC